This 84-nucleotide small nucleolar RNA is filed under the name Nomascus leucogenys (northern white-cheeked gibbon). RNAcentral describes it as "Small nucleolar RNA U3". It matches the Rfam family "Small nucleolar RNA U3", at positions 1 to 84 of the family's 219-position model. From Rfam's summary of the family: Small nucleolar RNAs (snoRNAs) are involved in the processing and modification of rRNA in the nucleolus. The record is from Rfam by way of RNAcentral. Lineage: Eukaryota; Metazoa; Chordata; Mammalia; Primates; Hylobatidae.
AAGACUAUACUUUCAGGGAUCAUUUCUAUAGUAUGUGACUAGAGAAGUUUCUCUGAACGUGUAGAGCACUGAAAAACUGCUAGU